Pelodiscus sinensis (Chinese soft-shelled turtle) is the source of this 546-nucleotide long non-coding RNA. RefSeq lists it as uncharacterized. NCBI's taxonomy places the organism in Eukaryota, Metazoa, Chordata, Testudines, Trionychidae. The record is from RefSeq and is a predicted model, not a curated record.
CUCACUCAAGUUGCAUAAAGGGGAAAUAAGGGUUUUUUGCAGGGUCCUUGUGAUAUUCGACUUACUUGUAUGUUCGUGCUUCAGUGAAUUCCUGGAUCAGAGUGACUUCAUUAAAAGGCUGCAGACAUCUCUUUCUUAAGUGUCUUCAGGUGCUGCUUGUCUGAUUAUCAAUGCCUGAAAAAGGUGAUAAAUCUGAUGGAAGUGAACGCUUUCAGACAGGCUGCUGCUAUCUGAUGUGGGGCUUGCUCUGGCUGUUCGUACUGGUCUUUUUUGCCUGGCCUUUAAGCAUGGCUUUGGCAGGCCUCUAUGGAUUUGUCUCCCCUUUCAUUACAUUGGUGGGACUUGAUGACGUUAGCGACGCCCUGCUGCAAGGAGUAAACGUGGGGAGACAGUGUGCUCAGAACGUCAGAAAUGGCAAGCCCAUGUGUUGAAGAUGGCUCUCUGCCUGGCAAAGAUUCCACUGCUCCCUCCAUCAAAUGUCAUAUCAAACCAUUGCCUUCAUGUGUGAGCCUCUUGUUUUUACUCUCUGAAUUAAAGAGUUUUUAU